This 229-nucleotide ribosomal RNA is filed under the name uncultured bacterium. RNAcentral's name for it is "partial 16S ribosomal RNA". It matches the Rfam family "Bacterial small subunit ribosomal RNA", at positions 29 to 239 of the family's 1533-position model. The record is from RNAcentral.
AACGAACGGUAGCGGCGUGGAUUAGGCAUGCAAGUCGUACGGGCAAGGUUUUCGGAUCUUGCCAGUGGCGAAAGGGUGAGUAAUGCAUAGUCAACCAACCCUGGGUCCGUGGGAGUAACUGCGGGAAACGUGCAGCUAAUACCGGAUAGGUUGAUGAGGGCGGAUGCCUUUAUUCAAUAAAGAGGGCCGUCUUAACAAUGCUCUCGACCGAGGACGGGGCGUAUGUCCU